GACGAACGCUGGCGGCGUGCUUAACACAUGCAAGUCGAACGGAAAGGCCCUGCUUUUGUGGGGUGCUCGAGUGGCGAACGGGUGAGUAACACGUGAGUAACCUGACCUUGACUUUGGGAUAACUUCAGGAAACUGGGGCUAAUACCGGAUAGGAGCUCCUGCUGCAUGGUGGGGGUUGGAACGUUUCGGCGGUUGGGGAUGGACUCGCGGCUUAUCAGCUUGUUGGUGGGGUAGUGGCUUACCAAGGCUUUGACGGGUAGCCGGCCUGAGAGGGUGACCGGCCACAUUGGGACUGAGAUACGGCCCAGACUCCUACGGGAGGCAGCAGUGGGGAAUAUUGCACAAUGGGCGGAAGCCUGAUGCAGCAACGCCGCGUUCGGGAUGACGGCCUUCGGGUUGUAAACCGCUUUCGCCUGUGACGAAGCGUGAGUGACGGUAAUGGGUAAAGAAGCACCGGCUAACUACGUG
This 468-nucleotide ribosomal RNA is filed under the name uncultured bacterium. RNAcentral's name for it is "partial 16S ribosomal RNA". It matches the Rfam family "Bacterial small subunit ribosomal RNA", at positions 28 to 507 of the family's 1533-position model. The record is from RNAcentral.